GCUGGGCACAGUGGUGCAUGCCUGUAAUCCCAUCAACCAAGAGGCUGAGGUAGGAGGAUUGUGAGUUCAAAACCAGCCUCAG
This 82-nucleotide small RNA is filed under the name Marmota monax (woodchuck). The record is from RNAcentral. Lineage: Eukaryota; Metazoa; Chordata; Mammalia; Rodentia; Sciuridae.